GGCUCCGCGGGACCCACCUGGUGCUCCAGGGCAGGGACGGGCGUCAGGCUGCGCGGCGCUGGCCGACCUGGUUCCUCAGCACCUGCGGGCCGGGGCUGCUGAGCCCUCCCAGAAAGGUCGUUUCCCUCGCAGUUUCCAACAUGGCAGGCAGGUUUUAUACAUGGAUAAGAAGUCCACAGAAUGCAGAGGUUCUGAAGAUGCCAGGACCGGCAGAAAUGGAGGUAAACACAAACAAAAGGAAAAAAAAGCAAAAGCAAAACCACCACCAACCCCGACAUAGAUCAUCAGCAUCUCAUUCUUCAGAUGACUAUGUGUUUCCUUCUCCUACAUCAUCUUCAGGAAGCCAGACGGAUUCAAGUGUCGAAGGUAUCUUCUGAGAUGUCCAUCAUUCAGUCUGGUCCUCAGUCAUUGAUCCACACCAUUUGCGACUGAGAUGUCUUCAUUCCUGUCUGCCUAGUCCUUUCAGGACCUGAAAAAGCUAUUUAAAAAUGUCCACCUUUUCUGGGACUUCCCUGGUGGCACAGAGGUUAAGAAUCCGCCUGCCAAUGCAGGGAACAUGGGUUCGAUCCCUGGUCCGGGAAGAUCCCACAUGCCAUAGAGCAACUAAGCCCGUGCACCACAACUACGGAGCCUACACUCUAGAGCCCGCGAGCCACAACUACUGAGCCCGUGCGCCACAACUACUGAAGCCCACGUGCCUAGAGCCCGUGCUCCACAAUGAGAAGCCAUCACAAUGAGAAGCCCACGCACUGCAACGAAGAGUAGCCCCCGCUUGCUGCAACUAGAGAAAGCCCUCGUGCAGCAACGAAGACCCGACACAGCCAAAAAAAAGAAAAAAAAUGUUUCCCUUUUCUAAUUAUAUGUCUGUGUGAGGCUGGAUUUUCUUCAUAUACUUCAGUUUAGACAACUUAUCACAACAGACUGAAUGCAGAACCUGAUAUAAGGAGUGAUCUGCAUUAGUUUCCCAUUACUGUGUAACAGAUAUCCACAACCACAACAACUUAAAACAAUACGCAUUUAUCAGUUUCCAGGAGUCAGGAGUCUGGGUUCAGGUGAGCUUCUCAGGGUCUUUGCUCAGGGUCUCACAAGGCUAAAAUCAAGACAUUACCCAGAGGUGCAAUCUUACCUGAGGCUCAAGGAUCCUCAAUCAAGUGAGUUGGUUAUUGGCCGAAUGCAGUUGGCAAAAUUUGUAGCACCAAAGUCCCUGGCUCACUGUUGGCCAGGGACUGCUCUCAGCAACCAGAGGCUACCCACAAGUCCUUGGCACGUGACAACAUUGGUCCUUGCCUCUCACAACACUGCAGCUCACUUCUCCAAAGCCAGCAGGAAAAUCUUACUCCAGGGAUUUCCCUGGAGGUCCAGUGGUUAAGACUCCGCACUCCCAACGCAGGAGGCCCGGGUUCUAACCCUGGUCAGGGAACUAGAUCCUACAUUCUGCAACUGCAGAUCCCACAUGCCACAACUAAGACCUGGCACAGCCAAAUAAAUAAAUAAAUAUUUAAAAAAAAAAACUUCAGUCUACUGUGAUGGAGUCUUGUAUAACAUAGUGUAAUCACGGGAGCGACUAUAUCCUCACCUUUGCCAGAUUCUUUUGGCAAGAAGUAAGUAACAAUAAAUGGAGUAUAACCUUUAAAAAUUGUGAAUCACUAGGUUAUACCCCUGAAACUUAAGUCAUAUUGUACAUUGACUAUACCUCCAUAAAAAAAAGAAGCAAGUAACAGUUUCUCCCUCAUUCACUUGACUCAUUGGGGUCACCUUAGGGUGUGUCCAUCAUUCCAGACAUUAAAGAUACAUGCAAAAAUGUAAAACAAUGCCACUCUU
Molecule: long non-coding RNA, 1821 nt
Organism: Mesoplodon densirostris (Blainville's beaked whale)
Lineage: Eukaryota; Metazoa; Chordata; Mammalia; Artiodactyla; Ziphiidae
Exons: 5
Source: RefSeq, a predicted model, not a curated record